Molecule: ribosomal RNA, 494 nt
Filed under: uncultured Synechococcus sp.
Lineage: Bacteria; Bacillati; Cyanobacteriota; Cyanophyceae; Synechococcales; Synechococcaceae
Description: bacterial SSU rRNA
Rfam family: Bacterial small subunit ribosomal RNA
Source: RNAcentral
GAAGGCCUCUGGGCUGUAAACCUCUUUUUAUCAAGGAAGAAGAUCUGACGGUACUUGAUGAAUAAGCCACGGCUAAUUCCGUGCCAGCAGUCGCGGUAAUACGGGAGUGGCAAGCGUUAUCCGGAAUUAUUGGGCGUAAAGCGUCCGCAGGCGGCCCUUCAAGUCUGCUGUUAAAAAGUGGAGCUUAACUCCAUCAUGGCAGUGGAAACUGUUGGGCUUGAGUGUGGUAGGGGCAGAGGGAAUUCCCGGUGUAGCGGUGAAAUGCGUAGAUAUCGGGAAGAACACCAGUGGCGAAGGCGCUCUGCUGGGCCAUCACUGACGCUCAUGGACGAAAGCCAGGGGAGCGAAAGGGAUUAGAUACCCCUGUAGUCCUGGCCGUAAACGAUGAACACUAGGUGUCGGGGGAAUCGACCCCCUCGGUGUCGUAGCCAACGCGUUAAGUGUUCCGCCUGGGGAGUACGCACGCAAGUGUGAAACUCAAAGGAAUUGACGGA